GACGAACGCUGGCGGCGUGCUUAACACAUGCAAGUCGAACGGAAAGGCCCUGCUUUUGUGGGGUGCUCGAGUGGCGAACGGGUGAGUAACACGUGAGUAACCUGCCCUUGACUUUGGGAUAACUUCAGGAAACUGGGGCUAAUACCGGAUAGGAGCUCCUGCUGCAUGGUGGGGGUUGGAAAGUUUCGGCGGUUGGGGAUGGACUCGCGGCUUAUCAGCUUGUUGGUGGGGUAGUGGCUUACCAAGGCUUUGACGGGUAGCCGGCCUGAGAGGGUGACCGGCCACAUUGGGACUGAGAUACGGCCCAGACUCCAACAGGAGGCAGCAGUGGGGAAUAUUGCACAAUGGGCGGAAGCGUGAUGCAACAACGCCGCGUGCGGGAUGACGGCCUUCGGGUUGUAAACCGCUUUCGCCUGUGACGAAGCGUGAGUGACGGUAAUGGGUAAAGAAGCACCGGCUAACUACGUG
This 468-nucleotide ribosomal RNA is filed under the name uncultured bacterium. RNAcentral describes it as "partial 16S ribosomal RNA". It matches the Rfam family "Bacterial small subunit ribosomal RNA", at positions 28 to 507 of the family's 1533-position model. The record is from RNAcentral.